AACGCUAGCUACAGGCUUAACACAUGCAAGUCGAGGGGCAGCAUGGUCUUAGCUUGCUAAGGCCGAUGGCGACCGGCGCACGGGUGAGUAACACGUAUCCAACCUGCCGUCUACUCUUGGACAGCCUUCUGAAAGGAAGAUUAAUACAAGAUGGCAUCAUGAGUCCGCAUGUUCACAUGAUUAAAGGUAUUCCGGUAGACGAUGGGGAUGCGUUCCAUUAGAUAGUAGGCGGGGUAACGGCCCACCUAGUCUUCGAUGGAUAGGGGUUCUGAGAGGAAGGUCCCCCACAUUGGAACUGAGACACGGUCCAAACUCCUACGGGAGGCAGCAGUGAGGAAUAUUGGUCAAUGGGCGAGAGCCUGAACCAGCCAAGUAGCGUGAAGGAUGACUGCCCUAUGGGUUGUAAACUUCUUUUAUAAAGGAAUAAAGUCGGGUAUGGAUACCCGUUUGCAUGUACUUUAUGAAUAAGGAUCGGCUAACUCCGUGCCAGCAGCCGCGGUAAUACGGAGGAUCCGAGCGUUAUCCGGAUUUAUUGGGUUUAAAGGGAGCGUAGAUGGAUGUUUAAGUCAGUUGUGAAAGUUUGCGGCUCAACCGUAAAAUUGCAGUUGAUACUGGAUAUCUUGAGUGCAGUUGAGGCAGGUGGAAUUCGUGGUGUAGCGGUGAAAUGCUUAGAUAUCACGAAGAACUCCGAUUG
RNAcentral lists this ribosomal RNA (694 nucleotides) under uncultured bacterium. Its description in RNAcentral is "bacterial SSU rRNA". It matches the Rfam family "Bacterial small subunit ribosomal RNA", at positions 32 to 715 of the family's 1533-position model. The record is from RNAcentral.